RNAcentral lists this transfer RNA (73 nucleotides) under Canis lupus familiaris (dog). It matches the Rfam family "tRNA". Rfam says of the family: Transfer RNA (tRNA) molecules are approximately 80 nucleotides in length. Lineage: Eukaryota; Metazoa; Chordata; Mammalia; Carnivora; Canidae. RNAcentral also lists the same sequence under 3 other names. The record is from Rfam by way of RNAcentral.
GCCUGGCUGGCUCAGUUGGUAGAGCAUGUAACUCUUGAUCUCAGGGCUGUGAGUUCAAGUCCCAUGUUGGGUG